GCCUUCUGUCCAGCCCCUUUCCCUCCAUCCGGCCCCCAACCACGCACAGCUUCUGAGUUUAAUUUGGAGAUGGAGAGAAUUGGCAGUAAAAUGGCCAAAGUUGCUCUUUGAAAGGUGUCUGACUCUGGAUGAUAGGAAUGCUGUUUUGGUCAGAAACCCAAGGAUAAAGGCCGGUGCUCCCUCUUCCCUGGUGGACACCUGUGGCUUCCGAAGUUGUAUUUGAGCCCUUCGGAGACUCUAGGGGUAGCGCUCACUUCUCUGUGGCCCCCGGAGGCAGCAGCAAGGCCAUUCCCACAGCUUAGCAGGAGCAAAGAGCAUGACAGAGGGUUUUCCUGGAAAGACUCACGGCAGAAAUACAACAGUGGACACUCCCAUUUCCUGACGGCAUCUGCAGUGUGCACGCAAGAGGACAGUGGUUAAGGAGGACAAGAGCUCUGUGGACAGAUUGCAGUGCACUUUCCAGUAGACCUGAAGGGGUCCUCCAUCGUGGACUUGACCCAGAGGCUCCACUCGGUAGCGCUGAUGGGUCCAUGGAACUGCUGAGUGUUGUUUCACCCUUGGGGUUUGCAGCAAUGUGUGAUCAACUGAAAACUUGUUAUGUAGCAUCGCUG
RNAcentral lists this long non-coding RNA (611 nucleotides) under Capra hircus (goat). RNAcentral describes it as "lncRNA (ENSCHIG00000007445.1)". The record is from RNAcentral. Lineage: Eukaryota; Metazoa; Chordata; Mammalia; Artiodactyla; Bovidae.